Molecule: long non-coding RNA, 544 nt
Filed under: Homo sapiens (human)
Lineage: Eukaryota; Metazoa; Chordata; Mammalia; Primates; Hominidae
Description: HSALNT0399996
Source: RNAcentral
GUCUGUGCCCUGCCCCCAGAGGUGGAGCCUACAGAGGCAGGCAGGUCUCCUUGAGCUGUGGUGGGCUCCACCCAGUUUGAGCUUCCUGGCUGCUUUGUUUACCUAAGCAAGCCUGGGCAAUGGCGGGCACCCCUCUCCCAGCCUCGCUGCCGCCUUGCAGUUUGAUCUCAGACUGCUGUGCUAGCAAUCAGCGAGACUCCGUGGGCGUAGCACCCUCCGAGCCAGGUGCGGGAUAUAAUCUCGUGGUGCACUGUUUUUUAAACCCGUUGGAAAAGCGCAGUAUUCGGGUGGGAGUGACCCGAUUUCCCAGGUGCCGUCCGUCACCCCUUUCUUUGCCUCAGAAAGGGAACUCCCUGACGCCUUGCGCUUCCCAAGUGAGGCAAUGCCUCGCCCUGCUUCGGCUGCCGCACGGUGCACGCACCCACUGACCUGCGCCCACUGUCUGGCACUCCUUAGUGAGAUGAACCCGGUACCUCAGAUGGAAAUGCAGAAAUCACCCGUCUUCUGCGUCGCUCACGCUGAGCUGUAGACCGGAGCUGUUCCU